GUGAAUCAUCGAAUUUUUGAACGCAAAUUGCACUCUCUGGUAUUCCGGAGAGUAUGCCUGUUUGAGGGUCAGUUAAAAUCAAAAUCGGUCUGGUUGCCGCCUUUCGUGGUGACGCACCGGCUUUGGGUCGUUUUGCCUUCGGUUAAGUUACAAUCCACUUUGCAUGCACUUUUUCGAACGUCUUUAACUGCUUUUACGUACGCUUGCGCUCUAGACUAAUA
RNAcentral lists this unclassified non-coding RNA (221 nucleotides) under Glomus sp. RNAcentral describes it as "partial contains 5.8S ribosomal RNA and internal transcribed spacer 2". The stretch from base 1 to 71 matches the Rfam family "5.8S ribosomal RNA", at positions 84 to 154 of the family's 154-position model. Lineage: Eukaryota; Fungi; Glomeromycota; Glomeromycetes; Glomerales; Glomeraceae. The record is from RNAcentral.